This 389-nucleotide ribosomal RNA is filed under the name uncultured bacterium. RNAcentral describes it as "bacterial SSU rRNA". It matches the Rfam family "Bacterial small subunit ribosomal RNA", at positions 28 to 417 of the family's 1533-position model. The record is from RNAcentral.
GACGAACGCUGGCGGCGUGCUUAACACAUGCAAGUCGAGCGGUAAGGCCCUUUCGGGGGUACACGAGCGGCGAACGGGUGAGUAACACGUGGGUGACCUGCCUCUAGCUCUGGGAUAAGCCUGGGAAGCUGGGUCUAAUACCGGAUAUGACCUCGCGGUGCAUGUUGCGGGGUGGAAAGCCUUGUGCGGCUAGGGAUGGGCCCGCGGCCUAUCAGCUUGUUGGUGGGGUGANGGCCUACCAAGGCGACGACGGGUAGCCGGCCUGAGAGGGCGACCGGCCACACUGGGACUGAGACACGGCCCAGACUCCUACGGGAGGCAGCAGUGGGGAAGUCUUGCGCAAUGGGCGAAAGCCUGACGCAGCGACGCCGCGUGAGGGAUGACGGCCU